GAUACGUCUUCAGAGUUUUGAUCCUGGCUCAGGAUAAACGCUGACAGAAUGCUUAACACAUGCAAGUCGAUGAUGGGAAGCUAAGCCUAGCUUAGAAGAAGUCAUGGCGGACGGGUGAGUAACGUGUAAAGAACUUGCCCUCUAGACUGGGAUAACAGAUAGAAAUGUCUGAUAAUACCGGAUAUUAUUGUUACAUGGCAUCAUGUAGGAAUGAAAGGAUAAGAUUGCUAGAGGAGAGCUUUGCAUCCUAUUAGCUAGUUGGUGAGGUAACGGCCCACCAAGGCAAUGAUGGGUAGCCGGCCUGAGAGGGUGAACGGCCACAAGGGGACUGAGACACGGCCCUU
RNAcentral lists this ribosomal RNA (344 nucleotides) under uncultured bacterium. RNAcentral's name for it is "bacterial SSU rRNA". It matches the Rfam family "Bacterial small subunit ribosomal RNA", at positions 1 to 334 of the family's 1533-position model. The record is from RNAcentral.